Molecule: microRNA precursor, 97 nt
Filed under: Strigamia maritima
Lineage: Eukaryota; Metazoa; Arthropoda; Chilopoda; Geophilomorpha; Linotaeniidae
Description: microRNA MIR158
Source: RNAcentral
UAAAAUGACGUCAUCAUUUCUCAAGUGGAAAAGUGGAAACUGGAGUGAAUACUCCAUUUUUUACUUUUUCACUUGAGAAAUGAUGACGUCAUUUUCU